Brachypodium distachyon (stiff brome) is the source of this 137-nucleotide non-coding RNA. The record is from Rfam. Lineage: Eukaryota; Viridiplantae; Streptophyta; Magnoliopsida; Poales; Poaceae.
UUAGUACUUCCUCCGUCCAAUGAAGGAUGUCUCAACUUUGACUAAAUUUGAAUGCAUCUAUACACUAAGUCAUGUCUAGAUACAUAACAAAUUUUGACAAACUUGAGACAUCUUUUGUUGGACGGAGGGAGUAUGUA